CCGAAAGGCAGGAGUGCCCGCAAGGGAGCGCGGAGACAGGCGGUGCAUGGCUGUCGUCAGCUCGUGUCGUGAGAUGUUGGGUUAAGUCCCGCAACGAGCGCAACCCUCACCCCUUGUUGCUACCAGGUAAUGCUGGGCACUCUAGGGGAACUGCCCCGGUCAACGGGGAGGAAGGCGGGGAUGACGUCAAGUCAUCAUGCCCCUUACGUCCUGGGCUACACACGUGCUACAAUGGCCGGUACAAAGGGAUGCCACACCGUGAGGUAGAGCUAAACCCAAAAAGCCGGUCUAAGUUCAGAUUGGAGUCUGCAACUCGACUCCAUGAAGGAGGAAUCGCUAGUAAUCGCGUAUCAGCACGACGCGGUGAAUACGUUCCCGGGCCUUGUACACACCGCCCGUCACACCACGAAAGCCAG
This 416-nucleotide ribosomal RNA is filed under the name uncultured Methylomirabilota bacterium. RNAcentral's name for it is "bacterial SSU rRNA". It matches the Rfam family "Bacterial small subunit ribosomal RNA", at positions 1001 to 1414 of the family's 1533-position model. The record is from RNAcentral. Lineage: Bacteria; Methylomirabilota (SeqCode).